RNAcentral lists this ribosomal RNA (706 nucleotides) under uncultured Staphylococcus sp. RNAcentral describes it as "bacterial SSU rRNA". It matches the Rfam family "Bacterial small subunit ribosomal RNA", at positions 44 to 732 of the family's 1533-position model. Lineage: Bacteria; Bacillati; Bacillota; Bacilli; Caryophanales; Staphylococcaceae. The record is from RNAcentral.
GUGCCUAAUACAUGCAAGUCGAGCGAACGGACGAGAAGCUUGCUUCUCUGAUGUUAGCGGCGGACGGGUGAGUAACACGUGGAUAACCUACCUAUAAGACUGGGAUAACUUCGGGAAACCGGAGCUAAUACCGGAUAAUAUUUUGAACCGCAUGGUUCAAAAGUGAAAGACGGUCUUGCUGUCACUUAUAGAUGGAUCCGCGCUGCAUUAGCUAGUUGGUAAGGUAACGGCUUACCAAGGCAACGAUGCAUAGCCGACCUGAGAGGGUGAUCGGCCACACUGGAACUGAGACACGGUCCAGACUCCUACGGGAGGCAGCAGUAGGGAAUCUUCCGCAAUGGGCGAAAGCCUGACGGAGCAACGCCGCGUGAGUGAUGAAGGUCUUCGGAUCGUCAAACUCUGUUAUUAGGGAAGAACAUAUGUGUAAGUAACUGUGCACAUCUUGACGGUACCUAAUCAGAAAGCCACGGCUAACUACGUGCCAGCGGCCGCGGUAAUACGUAGGUGGCAAGCGUUAUCCGGAAUUAUUGGGCGUAAAGCGCGCGUAGGCGGUUUUUUAAGUCUGAUGUGAAAGCCCACGGCUCAACCGUGGAGGGUCAUUGGAAACUGGAAAACUUGAGUGCAGAAGAGGAAAGUGGAAUUCCAUGUGUAGCGGUGAAAUGCGCAGAGAUAUGGAGGUACACCAGUGGCGAAGGCGACUUUCUGG